RNAcentral lists this long non-coding RNA (201 nucleotides) under Elaeis guineensis (African oil palm). Its description in RNAcentral is "long non-coding RNA (EGUI_LNC065411)". Lineage: Eukaryota; Viridiplantae; Streptophyta; Magnoliopsida; Arecales; Arecaceae. The record is from RNAcentral.
CAGUUAAAGGGAAAGGAAACUGCUUCUCUUCGAAAGGCCCAGGUUACAUCUAAAAAUUUUUUAUUAAUCUAUAUGAAUAAGAAUCAAAUUCUUACCUAAUUAGUAGUAAAAUCUGAAAUCAAAUCUUAAUUAAUCUAAAUUAAAUCUUUGUGGAGGUCUGGAUGUACAGACCCUCUACUUCGCAUGCACGCCAGACACUGC